This 1758-nucleotide long non-coding RNA is filed under the name Patiria miniata (bat star). RNAcentral's name for it is "uncharacterized LOC119731539". Lineage: Eukaryota; Metazoa; Echinodermata; Asteroidea; Valvatida; Asterinidae. The record is from RNAcentral.
UUGGUUGUCACUAGAGGGCCUCCUGCACACCGAUGUAAACAAACGCACAUGGACAUGAAAAGCAAAGUGCGCCUUGUAUUUUUAUCCCUAAAACAAUCUCUGAAAGAAAUAUCUGGACUUUCUUGCAGUGUUCAAAUGAAAUAUAAUUAUCUAGGAAACAAGGUUGCUGCUUUCCAUCGAUGGCAUGAAAAGCAUCUUCUUCGAAGUUCGAUGGCUCAGACUUCAUCACCAUCUCAAAAGUGGAGGACAAUGCUAGCGAGUGGGCAAUCUUGAAGCCUGAGUCGGGGACGGGCUGUCCAAAACAGCACACAGGAUGACCGAAGACACGCAUAUCCCUCAUGGGUUUUUGAGGACGGCAUCGUCAAGCUCAAGAUGCAAGGAGCUUGCACCAGCUGCCCCAGCUCAGUGCUGAUACUGAAGAAAGUGUACGGAACGUGCUGCAGUAUGGACGUCAUGGGUGAUUAACAGGUAAAAAAUGAAAGAACUGUCAGAAAGAUCAGUUGAACAAAGUAUGUAUGAAGCCAAGUAAAAAAAAUACUGAUCUUCCGGGUUUCUUAAAAUAAUUUUUUUGUGUUUUCUUCCAAGAUGGCCGCCGUGUAUUUAAAUUCAAAAUGGCCGCCAACUUUUCAGUCCAAAAUGACCACGACCUUUUUAUUAACUAUCCUACUAGUUAGUUGAGUCAAAAUAUGCAAACAAUGUUAUACAUAUUUUGCCCGCAUUUAUGCAUUUUUUAUGAAGUGCAUGUUGUAUGCAUGAUAAAAAUAGCUUUUUGAGGAGAACAAAAAUUAAAAAAUAUAAAAAAGUAUGCGGCUUCAAAAAACGAUGGGGAAGGGGACGAUCUACUGAUUUUUUUUUUUACUUGGCCUUAAGUAUUGAAUAUCUAUUGAAUGUCAGUUUCCUGAAAUCUUAGAAAAUAGUGUCCCUUGAUUUGCCUUAUAUUUGAAGGCCAAACAGCAUCCAAACCAACCAAGUGACUGAUCAACUGAUUAACAAGUAAAACAAAUCUCCCAGGUCUGUAUGUGACUUUGGGCGUGAUCCCUGGCUGCAUGAUAUAGAGGUUUAUGGCUUCUGUCUAGCACCCCUUGAACAAAGACAUUGACGAAUGAGGGUGAUUCACAGUGCAGGGCGCCACCAAGAGUUUGCCACAGACAGUUCCUUUUCCCAGUGCGUUGUGGGAGAUGGUCGACAAAUUCGCAACACUGGACAUUUGAUAUAGUUAGUUUUUACGUUCAGUAGUUUCGUAAGGGUAUGCUUCCAGUGUAGUAUUUGUUUGCCCUUUUCUUUUUUAUGGUGGCAGAACGCUACGGCUCCAAUCUAUAACAAAUUAGCUCAAGUUGUCUAAUGACGCUCAUUCAAAUGGACCGUGUUUUGUUAACAUAAACUUCAAAAAUGGACUCUCCAUGGCAAACUCUUCGUGGCGCAAUGCAUUGCGAAUCGCCCGAAUUGACUGACAGAGGAAUUAUUUAAGUUCUCAAAUUAAAUAUACUUAAAUAAUCGUGUAGUCGAUUUAUGUAAACUAAUGAUUGUGUAUCCUGAAUUUGCUUGCAUAAGCCAUUCGAAGUAAAACAAGUAAAUUCUAAAAUGUAGUUUGCCAAUAAUUGUUGCUGUACAGUAAUCAUUGUGUUAUUAUCACUUAGUUAAUGCAUGUCAUAAUUUGGAUCGACACAUUGACCUAAGAGUUUAGAGUCUUAAGAAGAUAUUUCCUAAUCUUGAAAUCAUGAAUAAAAACGGACAACUCGGUUUUGAGAAUUACUUUUA